Molecule: non-coding RNA, 158 nt
Organism: Podarcis lilfordi (Lilford's wall lizard)
Lineage: Eukaryota; Metazoa; Chordata; Lepidosauria; Squamata; Lacertidae
Source: the annotation of a GenBank genome assembly
UGAAAUUGCAUGCACUUGACAAAUAAGGAAGUGUUUUGUGCUAAAUUCAGCUUUUAUUCUAAGGUCACAGAAUGCUCCUUUUAAUUCUGACAUUUAAAAAAAUUGUGUGUGUGUGUGUGUGUGUGUGUGUGUGUGUGGAACAAGCAGCUAAGCUUCAA